AUAGCGCCAUGGGCGCCAUGAUCGUAAAUUUUGUUGAGAAGCUUCCGCGUCCUUCUCUCGAAGUUCCUUCAACCUGAACCCCGUACUUCUUUGUAUGCACAGCACAUGCAUUCUCCAUACAGUACGCCACACAAACCAGCUCCGUCAACUCUGCACAGGUGAAGCUAUCCCAUGUUUGUGCAGAAGAUAUUCAGUACUGGUCACCCAUGCACUUCCGACCCCUCCCCCUCCCUUGCCGCCCCCUCCCCAAGCCGGUCCGGACUCAAGGUCUGGGGGCGGCGCCUCGCGGGGGGGGGGGGGGGGGUCUCGUGGGUAGGGGCACCGGACUGACCCACACAGGCUCAGUGGUUGUUCAGAACACCGUGGACCCGCAUUGGGCGCCAGUCGAAGGUCGGGAUACCGGGUCGAAACUCGGCGGCUCCGCGGCCCGAGAGGCGAGGUGGCGCAUCAGUGUUUGAGGACUUGGAGCCUUCAACAUGCAGCGUCUGAUGUUUCUGGCUCUGCUGGUAGUGGCUGUGGCCGCCGCCUUCUCCUCCCAAACCCGGCAGGGCCGCCGCUGGGUCUGGCCCUCUAGCGACGCCGAACGCUUCUCCAGCUUCUCGUACCGCUCGCUAGGUGACAGGUCGGUCGGCCGAAGUCUGCGCCGACUGCCGCCACCCGGCGUGAGCCAAAAUCGACUGGUGACGUCAGUUAGCGGUUCUGGCGGCCGGUGUCCGCUCAUCCCGUCCGCUAGCUGCCCCGCUCGUACCGUUCUUCUCUCCGGGGUCGACCCUGCCAGCCUGCGACCAUGCUCCAACGAUGGCGCGUGUCCAACGGGCACGCGAUGCUGCUACCACCCGUGCCUCACGCUUAGUCUUUGCCUGACUCCGGCUGGAAACUUCGUGACGAAGCUGUUGUAAAAAGUCAUCCUGUGCGAGGCACCAUGUGGUGUGGUGAAUUGAUAGUUUGGGGUCAUGCGUGCGGAUAUGGUAGCAUGUACUGUUUGAUGUGUUCUUGUUCCGGUUCGUGCUUAUUGAGUGCCGUUGUUCCUCACUGUAGGGUGUUGUAGUUGAUGUGUCUGGUCCUUUCAGGACCGGAAGACACACUUGGGGAGGGAGGGGGAUCGUCGCACAAGUGUGAAGUCGACGACAAGCCAAGUCAGCCCUGUAUUGUUCGCCUGUCUCCAAACGUGCAUGUCAUGUUCCGCCGCGGGCAGGGUGGGGAUCAGUAGCACCUGUUGCCACACGUGCGGAAACGACGAGACUUCGUUUUGUCAAAUCGGGCGUUUUUCGGGAGCUGUGCCCUCCACGGCAACGCUUUAGGGUGGUGUAGCGACAAUAUCGUACCGCGUAAAGAGCCAGCACGCGAAAGCUCUCAACGGUCGGUUUGCAAUGAUAAUUCAUUGCUCUAUGAAUUGAUCAAAAGGCUGCAGUAGGCAGCAUUAUACCGUUUUGUGACUGUUAUUGUUUGACCAGCGCUGUAUCGCUGUGUCUUUUUUCGGAGCAGGAUCUUAUGAGCGCAUUGGUAUGAAUUCUAAUUGCAAUAAUAUAGUACGGUAAGAUACGGUAUAAUAUAUCAUGUUGUAUGCUGUGUAGCAUUUUACGGUAAGCUGUCAAGGCCGAUAUCGGGUAACCGUUUUGCAUGACGCCGUUUUACUUAAUGACGGUAGGUACUAUAGAAUA
Molecule: unclassified non-coding RNA, 1661 nt
Filed under: Amphibalanus amphitrite
Lineage: Eukaryota; Metazoa; Arthropoda; Thecostraca; Balanomorpha; Balanidae
Description: uncharacterized LOC122366588, transcript variant X2
Source: RNAcentral